Molecule: ribosomal RNA, 381 nt
Filed under: uncultured archaeon
Lineage: Archaea
Description: bacterial SSU rRNA
Rfam family: Archaeal small subunit ribosomal RNA
Source: RNAcentral
ACACCGGCAGCUCAAGUGGUGGCCAUUUUUAUUGGGCCUAAAGCGUUCGUAGCCGGUUUGAUAAGUCUCUGGUGAAAUCCCGCAGCUUAACUGUGGGACUUGCUGGAGAUACUAUUAGACUUGAGGUCGGGAGAGGUUAGGGGUACUCCCAGGGUAGGGGUGAAAUCCUAUAAUCCUGGGAGGACCACCUGUGGCGAAGGCGCCUAACUGGAACGAACCUGACGGUGAGUAACGAAAGCCAGGGGCGCGAACCGGAUUAGAUACCCGGGUAGUCCUGGCCGUAAACGAUGUGGACUUGGUGUUGGAAUGGCCUCGAGCUGCUCCAGUGCCGAAGGGAAGCUGUUAAGUCCACCGCCUGGGAAGUACGGUCGCAAGACUGAA